RNAcentral lists this ribosomal RNA (435 nucleotides) under uncultured bacterium. RNAcentral describes it as "partial 16S ribosomal RNA". It matches the Rfam family "Bacterial small subunit ribosomal RNA", at positions 29 to 507 of the family's 1533-position model. The record is from RNAcentral.
AGCGAACGCUGGCGGCAGGCUUAACACAUGCAAGUCGAGCGGGCACUUUCGGGUGUCAGCGGCGGACGGGUGAGUAACGCGUGGGAACGUGCCCUCUGGUUCGGAAUAACUCAGGGAAACUUGAGCUAAUACCGGAUACGCCCUUUUGGGGAAAGGCUUGCUGCCGGAGGAUCGGCCCGCGUCUGAUUAGCUAGUUGGUGAGGUAACGGCUCACCAAGGCGACGAUCAGUAGCUGGUCUGAGAGGAUGAUCAGCCACACUGGGACUGAGACACAGCCCAGACUCCUACGGGAGGCAGCAGUGGGGAAUAUUGGAAAAGGGGCGCAAGCCUGAUCCAGCCAUGCCGCGUGAGUGAUGAAGGCCUUAGGGUUGUAAAGCUCUUUUACCCGGGACGAUAAUGACGGUACCGGAGGAAUAAGCCCCGGCUAACUUCGUG